RNAcentral lists this ribosomal RNA (275 nucleotides) under uncultured bacterium. RNAcentral's name for it is "partial 16S ribosomal RNA". It matches the Rfam family "Bacterial small subunit ribosomal RNA", at positions 399 to 691 of the family's 1533-position model. The record is from RNAcentral.
GCGUGAGUGAUGAAGGCCUUAGGGUUGUAAAGCUCUUUUACCAGGGAUGAUAAUGACAGUACCUGGAGAAUAAGCUCCGGCUAACUCCGUGCCAGCAGCCGCGGUAAUACGGAGGGAGCUAGCGUUGUUCGGAAUUACUGGGCGUAAAGCGUACGUAGGCGGCUAUUCAAGUCAGGGGUGAAAGCCUGGAGCUCAACUCCAGAACUGCCCUUGAAACUAGAUAGCUAGAAUCUUGGAGAGGUGAGUGGAAUUCCGAGUGUAGAGGUGAAAUUCGU